This 245-nucleotide ribosomal RNA is filed under the name uncultured bacterium. RNAcentral describes it as "partial 16S ribosomal RNA". It matches the Rfam family "Bacterial small subunit ribosomal RNA", at positions 524 to 768 of the family's 1533-position model. The record is from RNAcentral.
UACGUAGGUGGCGAGCGUUGUCCGGAUUUACUGGGCGUAAAGGAUGCGUAGGCGGAUUAUUAAGUCAGAUGUGAAAUUCCCGAGCUUAACUUGGGAGCUGCAUUUGAAACUGAUAGUCUGGAGUGCAGGAGAGGUAAGUGGAAUUCCUAGUGUAGCGGUGAAAUGCGUAGAGAUUAGGAAGAACACCAGUGGCGAAGGCGACUUACUGGACUGUAACUGACGCUGAGGCAUGAAAGCGUGGGGAG